Molecule: long non-coding RNA, 612 nt
Filed under: Homo sapiens (human)
Lineage: Eukaryota; Metazoa; Chordata; Mammalia; Primates; Hominidae
Description: non-protein coding lnc-CSMD1-1:25
Source: RNAcentral
ACAGUUCUUAACGGCCGCGCGUCCAGAGUCUGUUCCUUCUGAUGUUCGGAUGUGUUCGGAGUUUCUUCCUUCUGGUGGGUUCGUGGUCUCGCUGGCUCGGGAGUGAAGCUGCAGACGUUUGCGGAACUCGUGAGUUAUGACAAAAAGAUAUUAUGACUCCCAUGCAGCGGAUGAAGACAUUGAUGCCCAUGAAAGGAGAUUCACAAGCCUCCCUCCCAGAUUCAGGGAAGGAGAUGCAGCCCCCACCCCUUGACUGGAGGAGGACCAAGGUCACCUUGCAGAGCACCGUGAGAUGUGGAAGAUGCCAGAACUGUCUGUGGGAAAUGGGAUUUGUACUUGGCUUGUCUGCCUCUUGCAACCAGAGUCCUGGUUCUCAGGGCCUCACCUGUGCAUCUCUUGUUGAGCACAGAGGAGGCACUCGGCAUAAAUGAAGAGGAUGCUUGCUGAGCUGGCUGGCCCAUCCUCUCUUCUUUCCCUUGUUUUUCUAUUUUAUCUUUCAAAGCAGUGUUUCAAGUGUUUAUAAACUAAUCUAUGUAUAAAAUAUUAUGUGGCAUAAGAUUUGCAAAAUAUUAAAGAUUUAAAGAAUCAAAUAAAAUAUUUGUAUGAUACCAC